GAUGAACGCUAGCUACAGGCUUAACACAUGCAAGUCGAGGGGAAACGACAUCGAAAGCUUGCUUUUGAUGGGCGUCGACCGGCGCACGGGUGAGUAACGCGUAUCCAACCUGCCCAUCACUUGGGAAUAACCUUGCGAAAGUAAGACUAAUACCCAAUGAUAUCCCACGAAGGCAUCGGAAUCGGAUUAAAGAUUUAUCGGUGAUGGAUGGGGAUGCGUCUGAUUAGCUUGUUGGCGGGGUAACGGCCCACCAAGGCAACGAUCAGUAGGGGUUCUGAGAGGAAGGUCCCCCACAUUGGAACUGAGACACGGUCCAAACUCCUACGGGAGGCAGCAGUGAGGAAUAUUGGUCAAUGGGCGAGAGCCUGAACCAGCCAAGUAGCGUGCAGGAAGACGGCCCUAUGGGUUGUAAACUGCUUUUAUAAGGGAAUAAAGUGGGUCACGUGUGACUUUUUGCAUGUACCUUAUGAAUAAGGACCGGCUAAUUCCGUG
RNAcentral lists this ribosomal RNA (492 nucleotides) under uncultured bacterium. RNAcentral's name for it is "partial 16S ribosomal RNA". It matches the Rfam family "Bacterial small subunit ribosomal RNA", at positions 28 to 507 of the family's 1533-position model. The record is from RNAcentral.